This 369-nucleotide transfer-messenger RNA is filed under the name Lactobacillus helveticus. RNAcentral's name for it is "Standard tmRNA". It matches the Rfam family "transfer-messenger RNA". From Rfam's summary of the family: Bacterial tmRNA, also known as 10Sa RNA or SsrA, is named for its dual tRNA and mRNA-like properties. Its role is to liberate the mRNA from a stalled ribosome. To accomplish this part of the tmRNA is used as a reading frame that ends in a translation stop signal. Lineage: Bacteria; Bacillati; Bacillota; Bacilli; Lactobacillales; Lactobacillaceae. The record is from RNAcentral.
GGGGAUGUUUUUGGGAUUCGACAGGCGUAGAUUCGCAUUGACUGCGAUUCGUAGGUUACGUCUACGUAAAAACGUUACAGUUAAAUAUAACUGCAAAUAACAAAAAUUCUUACGCAUUAGCUGCUUAAUUUAGCGCAUGCGUUGCUCUUUGUCGGUUUACUCGUGGCUGACACUGAGUAUCAACUUUAGCGAGUUACGUUUAACUAUCUCACCUGAAUAGUUGAAAAGAGUCUUAACAGGUUAGCUAGCUCAUCCUAGCCCUGUUAUAUGGCGUUUUGAGCUAGUGAAGUUCAAGUAAUAUAACUAUGAUCGUAGAGGUCAGUGACGGAAUGCGUCUGGACAGGGGUUCAACUCCCCUCAUCUCCAUUU